GACCUCGUAGCUCAGUUGGCAGAGCAUUGGACUAGUAUCCCAAAGGUCGGGGGUUCGAUUCCCACCGUAGCCA
RNAcentral lists this transfer RNA (73 nucleotides) under Paramuricea clavata. It matches the Rfam family "tRNA". From Rfam's summary of the family: Transfer RNA (tRNA) molecules are approximately 80 nucleotides in length. Their secondary structure includes four short double-helical elements and three loops (D, anti-codon, and T loops). The record is from Rfam by way of RNAcentral. Lineage: Eukaryota; Metazoa; Cnidaria; Anthozoa; Malacalcyonacea; Plexauridae.